RNAcentral lists this ribosomal RNA (458 nucleotides) under uncultured bacterium. RNAcentral's name for it is "partial 16S ribosomal RNA". It matches the Rfam family "Bacterial small subunit ribosomal RNA", at positions 338 to 795 of the family's 1533-position model. The record is from RNAcentral.
CCUACGGGUGGCAGCAGUGAGGAAUAUUGGUCAAUGGGCGAGAGCCUGAACCAGCCAAGUCGCGUGAGGGAGUACUGCCCUAUGGGUUGUAAACCUCUUUUGUCGGGGAGCAAAAGUCGGACGUGUCCGGCUGUGAGAGUACCCGAAGAAAAAGCAUCGGCUAACUCCGUGCCAGCAGCCGCGGUAAUACGGAGGAUGCGAGCGUUAUCCGGAUUUAUUGGGUUAAAAGGGUGCGCAGGCGGAUUUUUAAGUCAGCGGUAAAAUCGUGGGGCUCAACCCCAUCCAGCCGUUGAAACUGGGGAUCUAGAGUGUGCGAGAGGUAUGCGGAAUGCGUGGUGUAGCGGUGAAAUGCAUAGAUAUCACGCAGAACCCCGAUUGCGAAGGCAGCAUACCGGUGCACAACUGACGCUCAGGCACGAAAGCGUGGGUAUCGAACAGGAUUAGAUACCCUUGUAGUC